GCUUUGCUUAAACUGGACCCUCCAUUACACACACACACACACUCUCUCUCUUUUCCCUUUUCUUCUUUACCUGUGAAAACGUGCCCUUCCACUGUACAUUAAAGGGAAACAUGCAUGCGGGAAUAUAAAGAUCUUAGAGUCUCCACUGUAAAAUAAUACCUGCUUCUUCCCCCCCUGCUAUCUUCCCAUGUUUCUUGCUUUCAAUAACGGUUUAAGGACGAUGCCAAUCAACAUUCUUGCUGCAAUGGAGAAGCCACGGAGAGAUUUCUCUUUCUUGCAGUCUUUUGGAAUGGGAAGCUCUGUUUUGAUCGUUCGAACAAUGGUUCGAAAAUUUAGACGUCCUUGUAAGCAGAGGGUUAUAAGAGUUCUUUGAUGAUCUCAUACUUUUCAAAGGGGAAUUCAGCAUCCUGGUCCGAUUCAGUGAAGAGUUCUUUCAUUUGUCAUCCUCAAAACAUGCACACUUGAGUUUCUACUUCUCUUUCUUUCUCUCUAUCAAUUAUGAUCUAUUAUCAGAUCUGUAGUAGAUUAUUUAUAGUUAUGUUAUUUCGCAAGUGUUUUGUUUAUAUCAGAUAUAUAUUAAGGUUUUGAGUGUAAUUUCUCUGCAUGCAUGUCUGCAUCUGCAGCUGAUUGAUGUAAUAAAAGUUUCUUUCCCA
Long non-coding RNA from Cucumis melo (muskmelon), 653 nucleotides. RefSeq lists it as uncharacterized. Lineage: Eukaryota; Viridiplantae; Streptophyta; Magnoliopsida; Cucurbitales; Cucurbitaceae. The record is from RefSeq and is a predicted model, not a curated record. The transcript has 2 exons.